GAGUUUGAUCCUGGCUCAGAAUGUACGCUGGCGGCACGCCUAACACAUGCAAGUCGAGCGAGGUACUUGUACCUAGCGGCAGACGGGUGCGUAACAUGUGGGAAUCUGCCUUUUGGUUCGGAACAACACGGGGAAACUUGUGCUAAUGCCGGAUAAGUCCUAACGGAGAAAGAUUUAUCGCCGAAAGAUGAGCCCGCACUAGAUUAGCUUGUUGGUAAGGUAAAAGCUUACCAAGGCUACGAUCUAUAGCUGAUUUGAGAGGAUGAUCAGCCACACUGGGACUGAGACACGGCCCAGACUCCUACGGGAGGCAGCAGUGGGGAAUCUUGCACAAUGGAGGAAACUCUGAUGCAGCGAUGCCGCGUGAGUGAAGAAGGCCCUUGGGUUGUAAAGCUCUUUUGUCGGGAAAGAUAAUGACUGUACCCGAAGAAUAAGGUCCGGCUAACUUCGUGCCAGCAGCCGCGGUAAUACGAAGGGACCUAGCGUAAUUCGGAAUUACUGGGCGUAAAGCGCGCGUAGGCGGUUAAGUAAGUUAAUUGUGAAAGCCCAAAGCUCAACUUUGGAAUUGCAAUUAAAACUACUUAGCUAGAGUUUAUCAGAGGAAAGCGGAAUACAUAGUGUAGAGGUGAAAUUCGUAGAUAUUAUGUAGAACACCAGUUGCGAAGGCGGCUUUCUGGGAUAACACUGACGCUGAGGUGCGAAAGUAUGGGUAGCGAAGAGGAUUAGAUACCCUCGUAGUCCAUACCGUAAACGAUGAUUGUUAGAUGUUGGAAAUUUAUUUUCAGUAUCACAGCUAACGCGUUAAACAAUCCGCCUGGGGAGUACGACCGCAAGGUUAAAACUCAAAUGAAUUGACGG
RNAcentral lists this ribosomal RNA (858 nucleotides) under uncultured Alphaproteobacteria bacterium. RNAcentral's name for it is "bacterial SSU rRNA". It matches the Rfam family "Bacterial small subunit ribosomal RNA", at positions 9 to 916 of the family's 1533-position model. The record is from RNAcentral. Lineage: Bacteria; Pseudomonadati; Pseudomonadota; Alphaproteobacteria.